GGUACAAAAUAGCAUUGUGGGUGUGGUUACCAGGUCAUAUAUAAAGGGGCCAUUUUAGGUUAAGGGGCCAUUUAAAUUAAGCUGCACUUACCUGUUGUUGUGACAGGCUUGUGUAGUGUUUUUUCCUUUUGUCUCCUCUGCAGGUUUUCUCACUCAGGAUGGAAGAUUGGCUAGCAGGAGUCAGGGUAGCGGUGCAUGAGAGGGGCGUCAAGUGGCUGCAGGGCC
This is a non-coding RNA of Pelobates cultripes (western spadefoot toad), 225 nucleotides long. The record is from the annotation of a GenBank genome assembly. NCBI's taxonomy places the organism in Eukaryota, Metazoa, Chordata, Amphibia, Anura, Pelobatidae.